CUUUUUUUUCUCUCUGUUUUUCGUUUAUAAAUUUUCUCUGAAAGUUCGUUCACAGAUUGGACUAAAGGACUAAGGCCUACCAAAUGCUUAAGGGUAGGGGCAGAUAGUGGAAAGAUAACCAAAACCGUAUAGAAGCACGUGAGCAGAAAGGACGUAAGGAAGGGGAUAAAAUAAAGGCUUAUUUACUGUAUCGCCCCCACUU
Molecule: long non-coding RNA, 202 nt
Filed under: Prunus dulcis (almond)
Lineage: Eukaryota; Viridiplantae; Streptophyta; Magnoliopsida; Rosales; Rosaceae
Description: sRNA ncRNA
Source: RNAcentral